GGGCUCGUAGCUCAGCCUGGAAGAGCACCACGUUCGCAACGUGGGGGCCCCGGGUUCAAAUCCCGGCGAGUCCA
RNAcentral lists this transfer RNA (74 nucleotides) under archaeon BMS3Abin16. RNAcentral's name for it is "tRNA-Ala". It matches the Rfam family "tRNA". From Rfam's summary of the family: Transfer RNA (tRNA) molecules are approximately 80 nucleotides in length. Their secondary structure includes four short double-helical elements and three loops (D, anti-codon, and T loops). RNAcentral also lists the same sequence under 2 other names. The record is from RNAcentral.